UCCGUAGGUGAACCUGCGGAGGGAUCAUUACCGAGUUUACAACUCCCAAACCCCUGUGAACAUACCACUUGUUGCCUCGGCGGAUCAGCCCGCUCCCGGUAAAACGGGACGGCCCGCCAGAGGACCCCUAAACUCUGUUUCUAUAUGUAACUUCUGAGUAAAACCAUAAAUAAAUCAAAACUUCCAACAACGGAUCUCUUGGUUCUGGCAUCGAUGAAGAACGCAGCAAAAUGCGAUAAGUAAUGUGAAUUGCAGAAUUCAGUGAAUCAUCGAAUCUUUGAACGCACAUUGCGCCCGCCAGUAUUCUGGCGGGCAUGCCUGUUCGAGCGUCAUUUCAACCCUCAAGCACAGCUUGGUGUUGGGACUCGCGUUAAUUCGCGUUCCUCAAAUUGAUUGGCGGUCACGUCGAGCUUCCAUAGCGUAGUAGUAAAACCCUCGUUACUGGUAAUCGUCGCGGCCACGCCGUUAAACCCCAACUUCUGAAUGUUGACCUCGGAUCAGGUAGGAAUACCCGCUGAACUUAAGCAUAUCAAUAAGCGGAGGA
This 544-nucleotide ribosomal RNA is filed under the name Fusarium oxysporum f. sp. chrysanthemi. Its description in RNAcentral is "eukaryotic LSU rRNA". The stretch from base 179 to 332 matches the Rfam family "5.8S ribosomal RNA". The record is from RNAcentral. Lineage: Eukaryota; Fungi; Ascomycota; Sordariomycetes; Hypocreales; Nectriaceae.